GAGCGGCGGAUGGGUGAGUAACACGUGGGUAACCUGCCCUAAAGUGGGGGAUAACAUUUGGAAACAAGUGCUAAUACCGCAUAACAACAUUUACCACAUGGUUUAUGUUUAAAAGAUGGUUUUGCUAUCACUUUAGGAUGGACCCGCGGCGUAUUAGUUAGUUGGUGAGGUAAUGGCUCACCAAGACCGUGAUACGUAGCCGACCUGAGAGGGUAAUCGGCCACAUUGGGACUGAGACACGGCCCAAACUCCUACGGGAGGCAGCAGUAGGGAAUCUUCCACAAUGGACGAAAGUCUGAUGGAGCAACGCCGCGUGAGUGAAGAAGGUUUUCGGAUCGUAAAACUCUGUUGUUGAAGAAGAACAUGCGUGAGAGUAACUGUUCACGUAUUGACGGUAUUCAACCAGAAAGCCACGGCUAACUACGUGCCAGCAGCCGCGGUAAUACGUAGGUGGCAAGCGUUGUCCGGAUUUAUUGGGCGUAAAGCGAGCGUAGGCGGUUUAUUAAGUCUGAUGUGAAAGCCCUCGGCUCAACCGAGGAAGUGCAUCGGAAACUGGUAAACUUGAGUGCAGAAGAGGAGAGUGGAACUCCGUGUGUAGCGGUGGAAUGCGUAGAUAUAUGGAAGAACACCAGUGGCGAAGGCGGCUCUCUGGUCUGUAACUGACGCUGAGGUCCGAAAGCGUGGGUAGCAAACAGGAUUAGAUACCCUGGUAGUCCACGCCGUAAACGAUGAGUGCUAAGUGUUGGAGGGUUUCCGCCCUUCAGUGCUGCAGCUAACGCAUUAAGCACUCCGCCUGGGGAGUACGACCGCAAGGUUGAAACUCAAAGGAAUUGACGAGGGCCCGCACAAGCGGUGGAGCAUGUGGUUUAAUUCGAAGCAACGCGAAGAACCUUACCAGGUCUU
This 903-nucleotide ribosomal RNA is filed under the name Lactobacillus letivazi. RNAcentral's name for it is "bacterial SSU rRNA". It matches the Rfam family "Bacterial small subunit ribosomal RNA", at positions 93 to 982 of the family's 1533-position model. The record is from RNAcentral. Lineage: Bacteria; Bacillati; Bacillota; Bacilli; Lactobacillales; Lactobacillaceae.